This 401-nucleotide ribosomal RNA is filed under the name uncultured bacterium. RNAcentral's name for it is "bacterial SSU rRNA". It matches the Rfam family "Bacterial small subunit ribosomal RNA", at positions 356 to 773 of the family's 1533-position model. The record is from RNAcentral.
GGGGAAUCUUGCGCAAUGGGCGAAAGCCUGACGCAGCAACGCCGCGUGAGGGAUGAAGGUUUUCGGAUUGUAAACCUCUUUCAGUAGGAACGAAAUUGACGGUACCUACAGAAGAAGCUCCGGCCAACUACGUGCCAGCAGCCGCGGUAAUACGUAGGGAGCAAGCGUUGUCCGGAUUUAUUGGGCGUAAAGAGCUCGUAGGCGGUUUAGUAAGUCAGGUGUGAAACCUCCAGGCUCAACCUGGAGCCGCCACUUGAUACUGCUAUGACUAGAGUUUGGUAGGGGAUGAUGGAAUUCCUGGUGUAGCGGUGAAAUGCACAGAUAUCAGGAGGAACACCGAUGGCGAAGGCAGUCAUCUGGGCCAAUACUGACGCUGAGGAGCGAAAGCGUGGGGAGCAAAC